Pelobates cultripes (western spadefoot toad) is the source of this 271-nucleotide non-coding RNA. NCBI's taxonomy places the organism in Eukaryota, Metazoa, Chordata, Amphibia, Anura, Pelobatidae. The record is from the annotation of a GenBank genome assembly.
UCAUUUGUGACACAUACACACACACUGACAGACACACACACACACACACACUCACUGACAGGUAGACACACUCACACUGACUGACAGACACUCACACUGACAGACAAUCACACUGACAGACAGACAAUCACACUGAUGGACAGACACACACACUGACACUAACAGACACUCACACUGAAAGACACACACACCGACAGACACUAACAAACAGACACACACUGACAGACGUGUCAUGUUCUGCAGAGAUGUCUGGCCUUGGCUACAAUUCUUG